Molecule: ribosomal RNA, 157 nt
Filed under: Microascales sp. 3YT3P.1-G1
Lineage: Eukaryota; Fungi; Ascomycota; Sordariomycetes; Microascales
Also listed under: 1 other name
Description: Graphium sp. 3YT3P.1-G1 5.8S ribosomal RNA
Rfam family: 5.8S ribosomal RNA
About the family: 5.8S ribosomal RNA (5.8S rRNA) is a component of the large subunit of the eukaryotic ribosome. It is transcribed by RNA polymerase I as part of the 45S precursor that also contains 18S and 28S rRNA.
Source: RNAcentral
AAACUUUCAACAACGGAUCUCUUGGCUGUGGCAUCGAUGAAGAACGCAGCGAAAUGCGAUAACUAAUGUGAAUUGCAGAAUUCAGUGAAUCAUCGAGUCUUUGAACGCACAUUGCGCCCGCUGGUAUUCCGGCGGGCAUGCCUGUCCGAGCGUCAUU